UGUAAAUGUGACAACACACUCAUAUCCUUUUAUUUUCAUCUUUUAAUCUCACAGUAGCUGCAGUGAUUCUGCUCCUGUUGUGUAGAUGGAACUGCCAUUCACUGACUUAGAACUGAGCUUCAUCAUCGUUGCCUUCAUCAUCUUCUCCUUAUUCAGCACGGCUUCAAUCUGCAUCCAGUCACACGGACCCCAGUCAGAAAGAGAUUUGUAUGAAGCAAAGGAGUCAAGAACGUUUAACAGAAAGGAAAGAGUCAUCGGAAAGGAAGCUCAACAGAUGCCAUGAGGUCAGGACUCAAUUUGCUGGUAUUCAUUGUACAAUGAAGUUUUUACAAGAACAAAAGAGAGACAGAACACAAAAUGGAAACCGAACACAUUCAUACUGUGGCCAUUGUCCUCUGACUUUGCACUCAGGGUGGGAUACUCAAAUACUGUUAUCAACAGAAUA
Molecule: long non-coding RNA, 445 nt
Organism: Paralichthys olivaceus (Japanese flounder)
Lineage: Eukaryota; Metazoa; Chordata; Actinopteri; Pleuronectiformes; Paralichthyidae
Source: RefSeq, a predicted model, not a curated record